AUGAACGCUGGCGGCGUGCCUAAUACAUGCAAGUCGAGCGAACAGACGAGGAGCUUGCUCCUCUGACGUUAGCGGCGGACGGGUGAGUAACACGUGGAUAACCUACCUAUAAGACUGGGAUAACUUCGGGAAACCGGAGCUAAUACCGGAUAAUAUAUUGAACCGCAUGGUUCAGUAGUGAAAGACGGUUUUGCUGUCACUUAUAGAUGGAUCCGCGCCGCAUUAGCUAGUUGGUAAGGUAACGGCUUACCAAGGCGACGAUGCGUAGCCGACCUGAGAGGGUGAUCGGCCACACUGGAACUGAGACACGGUCCAGACUCCUACGGGAGGCAGCAGUAGGGAAUCUUCCGCAAUGGGCGAAAGCCUGACGGAGCAACGCCGCGUGAGUGAUGAAGGUCUUCGGAUCGUAAAACUCUGUUAUUAGGGAAGAACAAAUGUGUAAGUAACUAUGCACGUCUUGACGGUACCUAAUCAGAAAGCCACGGCUAGCUACGUG
This 496-nucleotide ribosomal RNA is filed under the name uncultured bacterium. RNAcentral's name for it is "partial 16S ribosomal RNA". It matches the Rfam family "Bacterial small subunit ribosomal RNA", at positions 29 to 507 of the family's 1533-position model. The record is from RNAcentral.